GACGAACGCUGGCGGCGUGCCUAAUACAUGCAAGUAGAACGCACAGUUUAUACCGUAGCUUGCUACACCAUAGACUGUGAGUUGCGAACGGGUGAGUAACGCGUAGGUAACCUGCCUGGUAGCGGGGGAUAACUAUUGGAAACGAUAGCUAAUACCGCAUAAUAUUAAUUAUUGCAUGAUAAUUAAUUGAAAGGUGCAAUUGCACCACUACCAGAUGGACCUGCGUUGUAUUAGCUAGUAGGUGAGGUAACGGCUCACCUAGGCGACGAUACAUAGCCGACCUUAGAGGGUGAUCGGCCACACUGGGACUGAGACACGGCCCAGACUCCUACGGGAGGCAGCAGUAGGGAAUCUUCGGCAAUGGACGAAAGUCUGACCGAGCAACGCCGCGUGAGUGAAGAAGGUUUUCGGAUCGUAAAGCUCUGUUGUAAGAGAAGAACGGGUGUGAGAGUGGAAAGUUCACACUGUGACGGUAUCUUACCAGAAAGGGACGGCUAACUACGUG
RNAcentral lists this ribosomal RNA (505 nucleotides) under uncultured bacterium. RNAcentral describes it as "partial 16S ribosomal RNA". It matches the Rfam family "Bacterial small subunit ribosomal RNA", at positions 28 to 507 of the family's 1533-position model. The record is from RNAcentral.